RNAcentral lists this ribosomal RNA (253 nucleotides) under uncultured bacterium. RNAcentral describes it as "partial 16S ribosomal RNA". It matches the Rfam family "Bacterial small subunit ribosomal RNA", at positions 524 to 776 of the family's 1533-position model. The record is from RNAcentral.
GACAGAGGUGCCAAGCGUUAGGCGGAAUCACUGGGCUUAAAGCGUGUGUAGGCGGGUGUCUAAGUACCUUUUGAAAUCCCACGGCUCAACCGUGGAACUGCUGGGUAUACUGGGUGCCUUGGGUCAUCUAGGGGCUGCCGGAACAAAUGGUGGAGCGGUGAAAUGCGUAGAUAUCAUUUGGAACGCCAACGGCGAAAGCAGGCAGCUGGGGAUGCACCGACGCUGAGACACGAAAGCCAGGGGAGCGAACGGG